Molecule: transfer RNA, 85 nt
Organism: Methylobacter tundripaludum SV96
Lineage: Bacteria; Pseudomonadati; Pseudomonadota; Gammaproteobacteria; Methylococcales; Methylococcaceae
Rfam family: tRNA
About the family: Transfer RNA (tRNA) molecules are approximately 80 nucleotides in length. Their secondary structure includes four short double-helical elements and three loops (D, anti-codon, and T loops).
Source: Rfam
GGAGAGAUGGCCGAGUGGUCGAAGGCGCACGCCUGGAAAGUGUGUAUACGGCAACGUAUCGAGGGUUCGAACCCCUCUCUCUCCG